CUCCGGUUGAUCCCGCCGACCCUGACUGCUAUCGGAUUGGUACUAAGCCAUGCGAGUCGUUGUAGCAAUACAAGGCGGACGGCUCAGUAACACGUAGUCAACCUAACCUAUGGACGUGGAUAACCUCGGGAAACUGAGAAUAAACCGCGAUAGAUCAUUAUGCCUGGAAUGGCUUAUGGUUCAAACAAUUUAUUGCCGUAGGAUGGGACUGCGGCCUAUCAGCUUGUUGGUGAGGUAAUGGCCCACCAAGGCUAUAACAGGUACGGGCUCUGAGAGGAGAAGCCCGGAGAUGGGUACUGAGACACGGACCCAGGCCCUAUGGGGCGCAGCAGGCGAGAAACCUUAGCAAUGUGCGAAAGCACGACUAGGUUAAUCCGAGUGAUUUCUGUUGAAGAAAUCUUUUGUCAGUCAUAAAACCACAGACGAAUAAGGGGUGGGCAAGUCUGGUGUCAGCCGCCGCGGUAAUACCAGCACCUCGAGUGGUCAGGAGGUUUAUUGGGCCUAAAGCAUCCGUAGCCGGCUACGCAAGUCUCCGGUUAAAUCCAGCUGCUCAACAGAUGGGCUGCCGGAGAUACUACAUAGCUAGGGAGCGGGAGAGGCAGACGGUAUUCUGUGGGUAGGGGUAAAAUCCUUUGAUCCAUAGAAGACCACCAGUGGCGAAGGCGGUCUGCCAGAACGCGUUCGACGGUGAGGGAUGAAAGCUGGGGGAGCAAACCGGAUUAGAUACCCGGGUAGUCCCAGCUGUAAACGAUGCAAACUCGGUGAUGCAUUGGCUUAUGGCCAAUGCAGUGCCGCAGGGAAGCCGUUAAGUUUGCCGCCUGGGAAGUACGGACGCAAGUCUGAAACUUAAAGGAUUGGCGGGGGAGCAC
Molecule: ribosomal RNA, 869 nt
Filed under: uncultured archaeon
Lineage: Archaea
Description: bacterial SSU rRNA
Rfam family: Archaeal small subunit ribosomal RNA
Source: RNAcentral